UUAGUGGAAGCGUCUGGAAAGGCGCGCGAUACAGGGUGACAGCCCCGUACACAAAAGCGCAUGUGCUGUGAGCUCGAUGAGUAGGGCGGGACACGUGGUAUCCUGUCUGAAUAUGGGGGGACCAUCCUCCAAGGCUAAAUACUCCUGACUGACCGAUAGUGAACCAGUACCGUGAGGGAAAGGCGAAAAGAACCCCGGCGAGGGGAGUGAAAAAGAACCUGAAACCGUGUACGUACAAGCAGUGGGAGCCCCACCACUAAGCCAGUGGUGAACUCCACAUACGCAUCCUUUGCUGAGGAUACGGUUAACGGAGCGAAAGCGACGUUCAACCUCAAAAGAAGCAGAGGGGGCUUAGUGGUGGGGUGACUGCGUACCUUUUGUAUAAUGGGUCAGCGACUUAUAUUCUGUAGCAAGGUUAACCGMAUAGGGGAGCCGGAGGGAAACCGAGUCUUAAUUGGGCGUUAAGUUGCAGGGUAUAGACCCGAAACCCGGUGAUCUAGCCAUGGGCAGGUUGAAGGUUGGGUAACACUAACUGGAGGACCGAACCGACUAAUGUUGAAAAAUUAGCGGAUGACCUGUGGCUGGGGGUGAAAGGCCAAUCAAACCGGGAGAUAGCUGGUUCUCCCCGAAAGCUAUUUAGGUAGCGCCUCGUGAAUUCAUCUCCGGGGGUAG
This 672-nucleotide ribosomal RNA is filed under the name Salmonella enterica. RNAcentral describes it as "partial 23S ribosomal RNA". Lineage: Bacteria; Pseudomonadati; Pseudomonadota; Gammaproteobacteria; Enterobacterales; Enterobacteriaceae. The record is from RNAcentral.